GAACGCAUACUUUAGAGUAUGAGUGGCAGACGGGUGAGAUAACGCGCUGAGACAUCUUACCUUACAGCCCGGUAUAAAUAUCUAUAUAGAGGCGAAAAUCUUUAUAUAUGAGUGAAUCCCGGAUAUUUUGAAUAAAAAAAAAAGGCAAAGAACCGUUGUAAGAUGAGCUCGCGUAGGAUUAGGUAGUUGGUAAGGUAAAAGCUUAUCCAAGCCGAUGAUCCUUAGCUGUUCUGAGAGGAUGAUCAGCCACACUGGGACUGAGACACGGCCCAGACGCUUUCGAGCGGCAGCAGUGAGGAAUUUUGGACAAUGGGCGAAAGCCUGAUCCAGCUAUAUCGCAUGAAUGAAGAAGGCUCAAUUGGUUGUAAAGUUCAUAGUUUCAUUGUAGAUUAUGACAUUGAUGAAAUGAAUAGUCCCGGCCAACUCCGUGC
Molecule: ribosomal RNA, 431 nt
Filed under: uncultured Trebouxia photobiont
Lineage: Eukaryota; Viridiplantae; Chlorophyta; Trebouxiophyceae; Trebouxiales; Trebouxiaceae
Description: bacterial SSU rRNA
Rfam family: Bacterial small subunit ribosomal RNA
Source: RNAcentral